GAUGAACGCUGGCGGCGUGCCUAAUACAUGCAAGUCGAGCGAACAGAUGAGGAGCUUGCUCCUCUGACGUUAGCGGCGGACGGGUGAGUAACACGUGGAUAACCUACCUAUAAGACUGGGAUAACUUCGGGAAACCGGAGCUAAUACCGGAUAAUAUAUUGAACCGCAUGGUUCAAUAGUGAAAGACGGUUUUGCUGUCACUUAUAGAUGGAUCCGCGCCGCAUUAGCUAGUUGGUAAGGUAACGGCUUACCAAGGCAACGAUGCGUAGCCGACCUGAGAGGGUGAUCGGCCACACUGGAACUGAGACACGGUCCAGACUCCUACGGGAGGCAGCAGUAGGGAAUCUUCCGCAAUGGGCGAAAGCUUGACGGAGCAACGCCGCGUGAGUGAUGAAGGUCUUCGGAUCGUAAAGCGCUGUUAUUAGGGAAGAACAAAUGUGUAAGUAACUAUGCACGUCUGGACGGUACCUAAGCAGAAAGCCACGGCUAACUACGU
This 496-nucleotide ribosomal RNA is filed under the name uncultured bacterium. RNAcentral describes it as "partial 16S ribosomal RNA". It matches the Rfam family "Bacterial small subunit ribosomal RNA", at positions 28 to 506 of the family's 1533-position model. The record is from RNAcentral.